GAUGAACGCUGGCGGCGUGCCUAACACAUGCAAGUCGAACGGAGGCCAGCUGUUAAGACCUUCGGGUCGAAGAGGGGAAGACUGAGUGGCGGACGGGUCAGUAACACGUGGGCUACCUGGCUCAUAGAGGGGGAUAACAGAGAGAAAUUUCUGCUAAUACCGCAUAAGAACACCCUGCCGCAUCGCAGUGGGUGAAAAGAGAAACGCUAUGAAAUGGACCUGCGACUGAUUAGCCAGUUGGCAGGGUAAGAGCCUACCAAAGCGACGAUCAGUACCCGAUCAGUGAGGAUGGACGGCGACAAUGGGGCUGGGGCACAGCACAUACUCCUACGGAAGGCAGCAAUGACGGAUAAAGCAAAACGGGGGGAAACCUGAUGCAGCGAGGCCGCGUAAGUGAAGAAAGAUGGCAGUAUGUAAAGCUCUAUCAGCAGGGAAGCUAAUGACAGUACCUGAAGAAGAAGCCCCGGCUAACUACGUG
This 478-nucleotide ribosomal RNA is filed under the name uncultured bacterium. RNAcentral's name for it is "partial 16S ribosomal RNA". It matches the Rfam family "Bacterial small subunit ribosomal RNA", at positions 28 to 507 of the family's 1533-position model. The record is from RNAcentral.